UGAGCUUUCAGGGAAGAGUAUCGG
This 24-nucleotide non-coding RNA is filed under the name Arabidopsis thaliana (thale cress). Lineage: Eukaryota; Viridiplantae; Streptophyta; Magnoliopsida; Brassicales; Brassicaceae. The record is from RNAcentral.